GAGGCGCGACUCCAUCCACAAUUCAGAUCAUGGACCGAACGCCUUGUGUGCAUGACUGACGCUGGUCGAUCUCAUCCACAACCCAAAAAGAUCUGAAAGCUAUCGAUGGAGCAUCACAGAGCGAGGGUGCAACUGGAUUGCUCUGUGGAGGAGGGCCCAAGGAUGUCACUUUAUGAAGUCCUGCUUACCACACAAUCUCAUCUGUUUGGAAACACCAUCUGAACCUGCCUGGUACCAUCAAAGAAGAGCACUGAUCCCAUAAAUGACAAAUGUCAAAUGGCAUGUUACAUACUGAAAUUGGUGGAUGACAACAAAUUGAAUUUUGUGCUUGGUUAUGCAACAAGAACAUUAUAUUUUGUUAAGAACUGCUUGAACUUUGUACAAGUUUGCUGAUGUUACUUUCUGCCAUAUCUUUUGCAGGAAGCCAACAAGGUGACCGACUGGUGUCUGGUAGUAAAUUUACUAUACCUCGAAGGAUAAAACGGAUAACGGUGUUGGAAGUAAAACUAGAAAGAAUCUGAAAAUGAAUGGUUUGUGAUUGCAUCUACAUAAAUGUUAGACUCUUGUUGGUAAAAAAGAAACCUUCUUUUGAUAGAUCUUUGGUGUGAAUUGUGGAAAGAUGAAGGAACAAGGGUCUCGAGAAGUUCUAAGAUUGUUGGGAACAUCAAGAUGAUGUUAAUGCAAAUACUAGUUGAUAUUAGGGUGGGCAACUGUUUGUCGAAGGAUCCUUUAUGACUAUUCAACAGAUACUGCACCACUCAAAGCAAUUUCAGAUUAUGGGAACAGAACUAAAGAUCUUCUGCUCAUUCAGAUCACCACACCAUGCAUGUUGAGUCUGUUCAAGCUUGUCCUCUCCAAAUUGUUU
This is a non-coding RNA of Musa acuminata subsp. malaccensis (wild Malaysian banana), 865 nucleotides long. The record is from RefSeq and is a predicted model, not a curated record. Lineage: Eukaryota; Viridiplantae; Streptophyta; Magnoliopsida; Zingiberales; Musaceae.